This 300-nucleotide ribosomal RNA is filed under the name uncultured Halogranum sp. RNAcentral describes it as "bacterial SSU rRNA". The stretch from base 57 to 300 matches the Rfam family "Bacterial small subunit ribosomal RNA", at positions 552 to 795 of the family's 1533-position model. Lineage: Archaea; Methanobacteriati; Methanobacteriota; Halobacteria; Halobacteriales; Haloferacaceae. The record is from RNAcentral.
GCGGGUGGGUGGCUGGAAGGAGGGUGAAGUCGUGGGGGGGGAGCGUUGUGCGGGUGUAUUGGGCGUAGAGUGCGCUGAGGCGGCGGCUGCAGUCGGAGGUGAAAACCCGGGGCGCAACCCCGGGCCUGCAGUGUAUAGUGGGUGGCUAGAUGCAUGCAGGGGUGAGUUGAAUUCCUGGUGUAGCGGUGAAAUGCGCAGAUAUCAGGAGGAACACCGAUUGCGAAGGCAGCUCGCUGGGACGUUACUGACGCUGAGACGCGAAAGCGUGGGGAGCAAACAGGAUUAGAUACCCCGUUAGUC